This 2572-nucleotide unclassified non-coding RNA is filed under the name Hevea brasiliensis (rubber tree). The record is from RNAcentral. Lineage: Eukaryota; Viridiplantae; Streptophyta; Magnoliopsida; Malpighiales; Euphorbiaceae.
UUUUUUUUUAAUUUUAAUUUUCUUUUUUAAAGAAAGAAAAUUUAAAAUUAUUAUAGGUGAGUAAAAAUCCUAGCCCUUGCUUUUGGCUCUCUUCCUCUCUCUGUCCCUCUAUAUUAUUUUAGAUUAAUUAUUUUUUUUAUUUUCCCUUUUAUUUUUUUUUGGGUUUUGUGUGGGUUUUCUUAGAACUUUGGGUUUUUCAUUUUCUUUCUGAUUUUUUUCUCAAUUUUGAUCUGAUUAAUGAUAACUUCUUAGUUGAUGGAGAGAGUUAUGGUGCUUGAAUUUGGAUGUGGAUUGAUAUUCUUUUUUUUUAAUAUUUUUGUGGGUGGUGUUCUUGUUUGUGAAAGUUGAAACUCAGUACUGGAAAUGGAUUUCGGUUUUGAUUCUUGUCUUUCUGCAUCGGGUAGUGGUUCUGAUUUGGAAAAAUGGGUUGUCUGUAGAUUUUUCUUUGGGGGCCUCAAGUUUUAUUUUUAUUUGAGUUUGAUAUUUAAAGUUAUCAGAAACAUGGAUUUUUGUUUUGUUAAAAAAAAUAUUGAUGAUCUUUCUGGAUCUGGAAUUGGAGGAUAACAUAACAUGACCAAACUACUUGAGAUUUAAUUUAAUCUGAAUCAAUUGGAUGGCUAUGUAAGACUGUUUGUUUGAUUUGAUUCGAUUCUGAAGCUGCCAGUUCUUGUAUUCUGUACCAUUUGAGAUUCUUGGAAAAGGGAUAUUAUUUUCUCGCCACCCUUUAAAUCUAUCCUGGUUUGUUUUCACAUGUUGUACUUGUGCCCUUCUUUUUUUUGUUUUUUGUUUCUCCCUUCUCUAAGUCUUCCAAUCUAUAGCUCGAUUUUUUCUGUCAAGUUCUUGAGUGAGUAUUCUCAUCUAAAAGGCAUGUUUUAUGGUUUCAACCCUUCAUGCUUGAUUUCAGUUUUGUUUUUAACAUGUUCUUGAAUACGGAAUAUUAUUUGAAACUCUGGUCUUUCUUGACUUCAACUCUUUGAAGCUAUAUAUUAGUGUUUAAUUGUUUUUUCCCAAAUGGGAUGCCAUGUGAUACUUUAACUUUUAUUAUAGUUGUUUGAAGAUACUUAUUGCUUGGGUGUUUUCUUACCCUUGGCAAUGGUGUAUCACUUGAGGCUUUCAUUUUUUUUCCUUUAUGUUUUUUGAGCUCUUUCAUGCUGCAGCUAGCUCUGUUUUUGUCCUACAGAAUUUAUAGUUAUAUUCUGCUGUAGUUUUAUGUUCAUAGUUGUUAGGAAUUUGGUUCUUGACAUUUUAUAAUUUUGGGCUGAAAAUACAAGCAUGCUAAUUCUUUGCUCACUCUUUACUUCAUUUGGUGAAUAUUUGGAUCUCAAUCUGAAGAAAACAAACUGGAAGGAGUGGGAUUUCAUUUUGAUCUACUUAAAUUGGGAAAAAGAUACAAGCCUAUUUGGUUUAGUUGUUGCUGUUGCCGCUACUAUUAAUGGGAUCUCAUUUGAACUUCAAGAACUUUGGUAAUGCCCCAGCCGGGGAGGGCAGCGGUGCAAAGCCACCAGGGAGUUCCCUUUUAGUCCGCCAGCCUUCAGUAUACUCAUUGACCUUUGAUGAGUUCCAGAACACAUGGGGUGGAGGACUUGGGAAGGAUUUUGGAUCAAUGAACAUGGAGGAGCUAUUGAAAAACAUAUGGACAGCUGAAGAGACUCAGGCAAUGACAAGUUCUGUUGGUGUUGUAGAAGGAAGUGUCUCUGGUGGGAAUUUGCAGAGACAAGGGUCGUUAACUUUGCCUAGGACACUAAGUCAGAAGACUGUUGAUGAGGUUUGGAAAGACUUGAUGAAAGAAAUCAAUAGUGGCGCUAAAGAUGGGAGCAACAUGGGAUCAAAUAUGCCUCAGAGCCAACAGACUUUGGGAGAGAUGACUUUGGAGGAAUUCUUGGCCAGGGCAGGGGUUGUGAGAGAGGAUACUCAGCUAAUUGGAAGGCCAAAUAAUAGCGGAUUCUUUGAUGAAUUAUCCCGUCUAAAUGAUAACGGCAAUAAUAACAGUAACAACAGUACUGGUUUAACUCUUGGGUUUCAGCAGCCAAAUCGAAACAAUGGACUUGUGGGAACCAGAAUAGUGGAAAACAAUAAUAACAUAGUUGCUAGUCAGGCUGCAAAUUUAGCCUUGAAUGUAGGCGGAAUCAGAUCCUCUCAGCCACUACCUCAGCAGCAGCAGCAUCAGAACCAACCCCAGCAGCAGCAACCACUCUUCCCCAUGCCCACAAAUGCGGCUUUUGCAUCACCUAUGCAUUUAGUGAGCAGUGCUCAGCUUGCCAAACCAGGAGUGAGGAGUUCAGUUGUUGGGAUUGCAGAUACAUCGAUAAACAAUAAUUUAGUUCAUGGUGGAGGAAUGGGAAUGGUUGGUUUAGGUGCUGGGGCUGUUACAGUUGUAACACCAGCUCCUGCAAAUCAGAUAUCACCAGAUAUGAUCACAAAAGGUAAUGCAGAUACUCCUUCAAUGUCACCAGUUCCUAACAUGUUUGGCCGGGGAAGAAAAGCCAGUGCUGCUUUGGAGAAGGUAAUUGAGAGAAGACACCGGAGAAUGAUUAAAAAUAGAGAGUCUGCUGCAAGGUCACGCGCUCGUAAG